AGUGAACGCUGGCGGCAGGCCUAACACAUGCAAGUCGAACGACAACACAGUAAGAGUUCGCUCUUAAGGUUGGCGAGUGGCGGACGGGUGAGGCAUACAUAGGCAUCUACUUUUUCGUGGGUGACAACGUAGGGAAACUUCUGCUAAUACCGCAUACGAUCUACGGCUGAAAGCAGGAGAUCUUCACACUUUGCGCGACUCAAUGAGCCGAUGUCGGAUUAGCUAGUUGGUGGGGUAAAGGCACACCAAGGCGACGAUCCGUAGCUGGUCUGAGAGGAUGAUCAGCCACACUGGAACUGAGACACGGUCCAGACUCCUACGGGAGGCAGCAGUGGGGAAUAUUGGACAAUGGGCGCAAGCCUGAUGCAGCCAUGCCGCGUGAGUGAAGAAGGCCUUCGGAUUGUAAAGCCCUUUUGUUAGGAAAGAAAAGCAGCAGGAGAAUACCCCGCUGUUCUGACGGUACCCAAAGAGUAAGCACCGGCUAACUUCGUG
Molecule: ribosomal RNA, 492 nt
Filed under: uncultured bacterium
Lineage: Bacteria
Description: partial 16S ribosomal RNA
Rfam family: Bacterial small subunit ribosomal RNA
Source: RNAcentral